Molecule: ribosomal RNA, 433 nt
Filed under: uncultured bacterium
Lineage: Bacteria
Description: partial 16S ribosomal RNA
Rfam family: Bacterial small subunit ribosomal RNA
Source: RNAcentral
AGCGAACGCUGGCGGCAGGCUUAACACAUGCAAGUCGAGCGGGCCCUUCGGGGUCAGCGGCAGACGGGUGAGUAACACGUGGGAACGUACCCUUUGGUUCGGAAUAACGCUGGGAAACUAGCGCUAAUACCGGAUACGCCCUUUUGGGGAAAGGCUUGCUGCCGAAGGAUCGGCCCGCGUCUGAUUAGCUAGUUGGUGGGGUAAUGGCCUACCAAGGCGACGAUCAGUAGCUGGUCUGAGAGGAUGAUCAGCCACACUGGGACUGAGACACGGCCCAGACUCAUACGGGAGGCAGCAGUGGGGAAUAUUGGACAAUGGGCGCAAGCCUGAUACAGCCAUGCCGCGUGAGUGAUGAAGGCCUUAGGGUUGUAAAGCUAUUUUGUCCGGGACGAUAAUGACGGUACCGGAAGAAUAAGCCCCGGCUCCCUUCGUC